GUGCUCAUUUCAGCAGCAUAUAUGCUAAAAUUGGAAUGAUGCAGUGAAAAUUAGCAUGUUCCCCACACAAGGAUGGCACACAGAUUUAUGAAGCAUUCCAAAUUUUU
RNAcentral lists this small nuclear RNA (107 nucleotides) under Carlito syrichta (Philippine tarsier). The record is from RNAcentral. Lineage: Eukaryota; Metazoa; Chordata; Mammalia; Primates; Tarsiidae.